RNAcentral lists this ribosomal RNA (959 nucleotides) under Streptomyces sp. YIM 75768. RNAcentral describes it as "bacterial SSU rRNA". It matches the Rfam family "Bacterial small subunit ribosomal RNA", at positions 33 to 1006 of the family's 1533-position model. Lineage: Bacteria; Bacillati; Actinomycetota; Actinomycetes; Kitasatosporales; Streptomycetaceae. The record is from RNAcentral.
GUGCUGCGGCGUGCUUACCAUGCAAGUCGAACGAUGAACCCGCUUCGGUGGGGGAUUAGUGGCGAACGGGUGAGUAACACGUGGGCAAUCUGCCCUGCACUCUGGGACAAGCCCUGGAAACGGGGUCUAAUACCGGAUACUGAUCUGCCUGGGCAUCCAGGCGGUUCGAAAGCUCCGGCGGUGCAGGAUGAGCCCGCGGCCUAUCAGCUUGUUGGUGAGGUAAUGGCUCACCAAGGCGACGACGGGUAGCCGGCCUGAGAGGGCGACCGGCCACACUGGGACUGAGACACGGCCCAGACUCCUACGGGAGGCAGCAGUGGGGAAUAUUGCACAAUGGGCGAAAGCCUGAUGCAGCGACGCCGCGUGAGGGAUGACGGCCUUCGGGUUGUAAACCUCUUUCAGCAGGGAAGAAGCGAAAGUGACGGUACCUGCAGAAGAAGCGCCGGCUAACUACGUGCCAGCAGCCGCGGUAAUACGUAGGGCGCGAGCGUUGUCCGGAAUUAUUGGGCGUAAAGAGCUCGUAGGCGGCUUGUCACGUCGGUUGUGAAAGCCCGGGGCUUAACCCCGGGUCUGCAGUCGAUACGGGCAGGCUAGAGUUCGGUAGGGGAGAUCGGAAUUCCUGGUGUAGCGGUGAAAUGCGCAGAUAUCAGGAGGAACACCGGUGGCGAAGGCGGAUCUCUGGGCCGAUACUGACGCUGAGGAGCGAAAGCGUGGGGAGCGAACAGGAUUAGAUACCCUGGUAGUCCACGCCGUAAACGGUGGGCACUAGGUGUGGGCGACAUUCCACGUCGUCCGUGCCGCAGCUAACGCAUUAAGUGCCCCGCCUGGGGAGUACGGCCGCAAGGCUAAAACUCAAAGGAAUUGACAGGGGCCCGCACAAGCGGCGGAGCAUGUGGCUUAAUUCGACGCAACGCGAAGAACCUUACCAAGGCUUGACAUACACCGGAAACGUCCAGAGA